Molecule: ribosomal RNA, 112 nt
Filed under: Caerostris darwini
Lineage: Eukaryota; Metazoa; Arthropoda; Arachnida; Araneae; Araneidae
Source: RNAcentral
AACGACCAUACCAUGCUGAAUAUACCGGUUCUCGUUAGAUCACCGAAGUCAAGCAUCAUUGAGCACGGUCAGUACUUGGGUGGGUGACCACCUGGGAACACCGUGCCGUUGG